Molecule: ribosomal RNA, 664 nt
Filed under: uncultured Burkholderia sp.
Lineage: Bacteria; Pseudomonadati; Pseudomonadota; Betaproteobacteria; Burkholderiales; Burkholderiaceae
Description: bacterial SSU rRNA
Rfam family: Bacterial small subunit ribosomal RNA
Source: RNAcentral
AGUGGCGAACGGGUGAGUAAUACAUCGGAACAUGUCCUGUAGUGGGGGAUAGCCCGGCGAAAGCCGGAUUAAUACCGCAUACGAUCUGAGGAUGAAAGCGGGGGACCUUCGGGCCUCGCGCUAUAGGGUUGGCCGAUGGCUGAUUAGCUAGUUGGCGGGGUAAAGGCCUACCAAGGCGACGAUCAGUAGCUGGUCUGAGAGGACGACCAGCCACACUGGGACUGAGACACGGCCCAGACUCCUACGGGAGGCAGCAGUGGGGAAUUUUGGACAAUGGGCGAAAGCCUGAUCCAGCAAUGCCGCGUGUGUGAAGAAGGCCUUCGGGUUGUAAAUCACUUUUGUCCGGAAAGAAAUCCUUGGUUCUAAUAUAGCCGGGGGAUGACGGUACCGGAAGAAUAAGCACCGGCUAACUACGUGCCAGCAGCCGCGGUAAUACGUAGGGUGCAAGCGUUAAUCGGAAUUACUGGGCGUAAAGCGUCCGCAGGCGGUUUGCUAAGACCGAUGUGAAAUCCCCGGGCUCAACCUGGGAACUGCAUUGGUGACAGGCAGGCUAGAGUAUGGCAGAGGGGGGUAGAAUUCCACGUGUAGCAGUGAAAUGCGUAAAGAUGUGGAGGAAUACCGAUGGCGAANGCAGCCCCCUGNGCCAAUACUGACGCUCAUGCAC